RNAcentral lists this ribosomal RNA (504 nucleotides) under uncultured bacterium. RNAcentral's name for it is "partial 16S ribosomal RNA". It matches the Rfam family "Bacterial small subunit ribosomal RNA", at positions 30 to 523 of the family's 1533-position model. The record is from RNAcentral.
AUUGAACGCUGGCGGCGGGCCUAACACAUGCAAGUCGAACGGUAGCACAGAGAGCUUGCUCUCGGGUGACGAGUGGCGGACGGGUGAGUAAUGUCUGGGAAACUGCCCGAUGGAGGGGGAUAACUACUGGAAACGGUAGCUAAUACCGCAUAACGUCGCAAGACCAAAGUGGGGGACCUUCGGGCCUCACACCAUCGGAUGUGCCCAGAUGGGAUUAGCUAGUAGGUGGGGUAAUGGCUCACCUAGGCGACGAUCCCUAGCUGGUCUGAGAGGAUGACCAGCCACACUGGAACUGAGACACGGUCCAGACUCCUACGGGAGGCAGCAGUGGGAAAUAUUGCACAAUGGGCGCAAGCCUGAUGCAGCCAUGCCGCGUGUAUGAAGAAGGCCUUCGGGUUGUAAAGUACUUUCAGCGGGGAGGAAGGCGGUGAAGUUAAUAACUUCACCGAUUGACGUUACCCGCAGAAGAAGCACCGGCUAACUCCGUGCCAGCCGCCGCCGUAA